This 88-nucleotide transfer RNA is filed under the name Planctomycetes bacterium TMED75. RNAcentral describes it as "tRNA-Ser". It matches the Rfam family "tRNA". Rfam says of the family: Transfer RNA (tRNA) molecules are approximately 80 nucleotides in length. Their secondary structure includes four short double-helical elements and three loops (D, anti-codon, and T loops). Lineage: Bacteria; Pseudomonadati; Planctomycetota. RNAcentral also lists the same sequence under 2 other names. The record is from RNAcentral.
GGUGGGGUGGCUGAGCGGUUGAAGGCACCGGUCUUGAAAACCGGCAAGGGGCUUGUCCUCUUCGCGGGUUCGAAUCCCGCCCCCACCG